RNAcentral lists this transfer RNA (75 nucleotides) under Pseudomonadota bacterium. Its description in RNAcentral is "tRNA-His". It matches the Rfam family "tRNA". Rfam says of the family: Transfer RNA (tRNA) molecules are approximately 80 nucleotides in length. Their secondary structure includes four short double-helical elements and three loops (D, anti-codon, and T loops). Lineage: Bacteria; Pseudomonadati; Pseudomonadota. The record is from RNAcentral. RNAcentral also lists the same sequence under 1 other name.
GUGGCUAUAGCUCAAUGGUAGAGCCCCAGAUUGUGGUUCUGGUUGUUGCGGGUUCGAGUCCCGUUGGCCACCCCA